AGAGUUUGAUCCUGGCUCAGAUUGAACGCUGGCGGCAUGCUUUACACAUGCAAGUCGAGCGGCAGCGCGGGGGCAACCCUGGCGGCGAGCGGCGAACGGGUGAGGAAUACAUCGGAACGUACCCCGGAGUGGGGGAUAACCCAGCGAAAGUUGGGCUAAUACCGCAUAUGCUCUGAGGAGGAAAGUGGGGGACUCGCAAGGGCCUCACGCUCUGGGAGCGGCCGAUGUCCGAUUAGCUUGUUGGUGGGGUAAUGGCCUACCAAGGCGACGAUCGGUAGCUGGUCUGAGAGGAUGAUCAGCCACACUGGGACUGAGACACGGCCCAGACUCCUACGGGAGGCAGCAGUGGGGAAUUUUGGACAAUGGGGGCAACCCUGAUCCAGCCAUGCCGCGUGCGGGAAGAAGGCCUUCGGGUUGUAAACCGCUUUUGGCCGGGAAGAAAAGGCGCCACCUAAUACGGGGCGUUCUUGACGGUACCGGCAGAAUAAGCACCGGCUAACUACGUGCCAGCAGCCGCGGUAAUACGUAGGGUGCGAGCGUUAAUCGGAAUUACUGGGCGUAAAGCGUGCGCAGGCGGUUUGUUAAGUCUGAUGUGAAAGCCCCGGGCUCAACCUGGGAAUGGCAUUGGAAACUGGCAAGCUCGAGUUUGGCAGAGGGGGGUGGAAUUCCGCGUGUAGCAGUGAAAUGCGUAGAGAUGCGGAGGAACACCGAUGGCGAAGGCAGCCCCCUGGGCUAAGACUGACGCUCAGGCACGAAAGCGUGGGGAGCAAACAGGAUUAGAUACCCNNGUAGUCC
This 795-nucleotide ribosomal RNA is filed under the name uncultured bacterium. Its description in RNAcentral is "bacterial SSU rRNA". It matches the Rfam family "Bacterial small subunit ribosomal RNA", at positions 8 to 796 of the family's 1533-position model. The record is from RNAcentral.